RNAcentral lists this transfer RNA (72 nucleotides) under Camelus bactrianus (Bactrian camel). It matches the Rfam family "tRNA". From Rfam's summary of the family: Transfer RNA (tRNA) molecules are approximately 80 nucleotides in length. Their secondary structure includes four short double-helical elements and three loops (D, anti-codon, and T loops). The record is from Rfam by way of RNAcentral. RNAcentral also lists the same sequence under 2 other names. Lineage: Eukaryota; Metazoa; Chordata; Mammalia; Artiodactyla; Camelidae.
GAGGGAAUAGCUCCAUUGUAGAGUGCAUGCCUAGCAUGCAUGAGGUCCUGGGUUCAGUCCCCAGUACCCUCA